This 497-nucleotide ribosomal RNA is filed under the name uncultured bacterium. RNAcentral describes it as "partial 16S ribosomal RNA". It matches the Rfam family "Bacterial small subunit ribosomal RNA", at positions 28 to 507 of the family's 1533-position model. The record is from RNAcentral.
GAUGAACGCUGGCGGCGUGCCUAAUACAUGCAAGUCGAGCGAACAUUUGAGGACUUUGCUCCUCUGACUUUAGCCGCGGACGUGUGUAUAACGCGUGUAUACCCUAUCUAUGAGACUGGUAUAACUUGGAGAAACCGGAUCUAAUCCCGUAUCAUAUAUUGAACCACAGGGUUCAAUAAUGAAAUACGGUUUUGCUGUCACUUAUAGAUGGAUCCGCGCCGCAUUAGCUAGUUGGUAAGGUAACGGCUUACCAAGGCAACGAUGCGUAGCCGACCUGAGAGGGUGAUCGGCACAACGGGAACUGAGACACGGUCAAGACUCCUACGGGAGGAAGAAGUGGGGAAUCUUCGGAAAUGGGGGAAAGCCUGACGGAGAAAGGCGGCGUGAGUGAUGAAGGUCUUCGGAUCGUAAGACCUUGUUAUUAGGGAGGAACAAAUGUGUAAGUAAAUAGGCACGUCUUGACGGUACCUAAUCAGAAAGCCACGGCUAACUACGUG